Molecule: ribosomal RNA, 500 nt
Filed under: uncultured bacterium
Lineage: Bacteria
Description: partial 16S ribosomal RNA
Rfam family: Bacterial small subunit ribosomal RNA
Source: RNAcentral
GACGAACGCUGGCGGCGUGCUUAACACAUGCAAGUCGAACGGGCCUGUCUUCUUUUUUGGGGGGUGGGUUGAGUGGCGAACGGGUGAGUAUCACGUGAGUAACCUGCCCUUCGGUCCUGGAUAACCGCUUGAAAGGGCGGCUAAUACGGGGUGGUCCGGUUGGUCCGCAUGGGCUGGUCGGGAUAGAUUCACUGUUUUUGGUGUUUCGGCGGGGGAUGGGCUCGGGGCGUAUCAGCUUGUUGGUGGGGUGCGGGCUUACCAAGGCGUGGACGGGUAGCCGGCCUGGGGGGGUGGGCGGCCACAGUGGGACUGGGAUACGGCCCAGACUGCUGCGGGCGGGAGCAGUGGGGGGUAUUGCACAGUGGGCGGAAGCCUGAUGCAGCGACGUCGCGUGAGGGAUGGAGGCCUUCGGGUUGUGAACCUCUGUUUCCGGUGGUGAAGGCCCUGUCCGUGUGGUGGGGUUGACGGUAGCCGGGGAUGAAGCGCCGGCUAACUACGUG